Small nucleolar RNA from Sciurus vulgaris (Eurasian red squirrel), 103 nucleotides. Lineage: Eukaryota; Metazoa; Chordata; Mammalia; Rodentia; Sciuridae. The record is from Ensembl.
AACCUUUGUAGUUCAUAAGCAUGAUGAUUGGGUGCUCACACCACUGUAUGAAAUGUUCCUCCCUUAAAUCUUGCUAUGCUGUGGAUACAUUACUGGUCUGAUG